CUUUUGAAUAUGUAUAGAAUAGUAUUUAACAGUGCACAAGUAUAAAAAAUGCUUCUUAAAUAAAUCAGAUUUUCCAGCAUAUUUAGUGUGAGUCUGCAAUGCAAAUAAACAAAUUUUUACCAAAACUAAAUAACUCGAAUCAGAAACGUCUCAUUCUCGCUUAUCGGACCUUUUCUAAAUUUAUCGUCGGACACACCGCUAAACUCCAAACGGGACCUUCGAUAUUCGAACAGAGUUUUAAAACUCGGACGACAGCAGUGUAAAUCAUACGGCUCACGAAAAUAGUCCCAGCAAAUUUCACCGAAGAGCUCC
This 312-nucleotide long non-coding RNA is filed under the name Ananas comosus (pineapple). Its description in RNAcentral is "long non-coding RNA (ACOM_LNC004870)". The record is from RNAcentral. Lineage: Eukaryota; Viridiplantae; Streptophyta; Magnoliopsida; Poales; Bromeliaceae.